RNAcentral lists this ribosomal RNA (518 nucleotides) under uncultured bacterium. RNAcentral describes it as "bacterial SSU rRNA". It matches the Rfam family "Bacterial small subunit ribosomal RNA", at positions 11 to 507 of the family's 1533-position model. The record is from RNAcentral.
GUUUGAUCAUGGCUCAGAGCGAACGUUAGCGGCGGGCCUAACACAUGCAAGUCGAACGCGAAAGGUCUUCGGACUGAGUAGAGUGGCGCACGGGUGAGUAACACGUAGGUAAUCUACCCUUUGGCGGGGAGUAACGUUCCGAAGGAGCGCUAAUACCGCAUAAGACCACGGAGUCUCCGGACGCUGUGGGAAAAGGUAGGCCUCUUCUUGAAAGCUACCACCGAAGGAUGAGCCUGCGUCCCAUCAGCUAGUUGGUAAGGUAAUGGCUUACCAAGGCGAAGACGGGUAGCUGGUUUGAGAGAAUGAUCAGCCACACUGGCACUGGAACACGGGCCAGACUCCUACGGGAGGCAGCAGUGAGGAAUAUUGGGCAAUGGGCGAAAGCCUGACCCAGCCACGCCGCGUGAGUGAUGAAGGCCCUCGGGUCGUAAAGCUCUGUGGAGAGGGACGAAAACCCUGGUUUCAAAUAGGCUCCAGGCUUGACGGUACCUCUUUAGCAAGCACCGGCUAACUCUGUG